CAUGCAUGUCUAAGUAUAAACAACUUUAUACGUGAAACUGCGAAUGGCUCAUUAUAUCAGUUAUAGUUUAUUUGAUGGUCAUUGCUACUUGGAUAACCGUAGUAAUUCUAGAGCUAAUACAUGCAUCAAACCCCGACUUCUGGAAGGAGUGUACUUAUUAGAUGGAAACCAAUGCGGGGCAACCCGGAUCAUGGUGAUUCAUAAUAAUUUUCGGAUCGAUCGCAAGAUCGAUGCAUCAUUCAAGUUUCUGCCCUAUCAGCUUUGGAUGGUAGGGUAUUGGCCUACCAUGGCAUUAACCGGUAACGGAGAAUUAGGGUUCGAUUCCGGAGAGGGAGCCUGAGAAAUGGCUACCACAUCUAAGGAAGGCAGCAGGCGCGUAAAUUACCCAAUCCUGACACAGGGAGGUAGUGACAAUAAAUAACAAUGCCGGGCCUUCGGGUCUGGCAAUUGGAAUGAGAACAAUUUAAAUCCCUUAUCGAGGAUCAAUUGGAGGGCAAGUCUGGUGCCAGCAGCCGCGGUAAUUCCAGCUCCAAUAGCGUAUACUAAAGUUGUUGCAGUUAAAAAGCUCGUAGUUGAAUUUCUGGCUUCGGAACACGGUCGACCUCUAGGGGCCUGUACCUGUGGAUCGGAGCCAUCCUCGGGGAGAACAUGUCUGCUAUUAAGUUAGUGGGCAUGGGACCCUCGUCAUUUACUGUGAGCAAAAUAGAGUGUUCAAAGCAGGCUUACGCCGUUGAAUACAUUAGCAUGGAAUAAUAAGAUAGGACCUUGGUCUAUUUUGUUGGUUUGUACUCCAAGGUAAU
Molecule: ribosomal RNA, 800 nt
Filed under: uncultured stramenopile
Lineage: Eukaryota
Description: SSU rRNA
Rfam family: Eukaryotic small subunit ribosomal RNA
Source: RNAcentral